This 110-nucleotide ribosomal RNA is filed under the name Helianthus annuus (common sunflower). The record is from RNAcentral. Lineage: Eukaryota; Viridiplantae; Streptophyta; Magnoliopsida; Asterales; Asteraceae.
AUUUAUUUUCAAAGCAUAACAUAUUUUUUUUAUUUUUUUUCUCUAUGUGUGCUUGUGCGAGAGUAGUACUAGGAUGGGUGACCCCGUGGGAAAUCCUCGUGUAGCAACCU